CGACGUGGAGUUAACCNGCCGUAUACUGGGGGAUAACACUUAGAAAUAGGUGCUAAUACCGCAUAAGCGCACAGCUUCGCAUGAAGCAGUGUGGAUAACAAAAAGCUAAAGCUUUUGGUGGUAUACGAUGGAUCCGCGUCUGAUUAGCUUGUUGGCGGGGUAAAGGCCCACCAAGGCGACGAUCAGUAGCCGGCCUGAGAGGGUGAACGGCCACAUUGGGACUGAGACACGGCCCAAACUCCUACGGGAGGCAGCAG
This 257-nucleotide ribosomal RNA is filed under the name uncultured bacterium. RNAcentral describes it as "partial 16S ribosomal RNA". It matches the Rfam family "Bacterial small subunit ribosomal RNA", at positions 111 to 354 of the family's 1533-position model. The record is from RNAcentral.